AUUGAACGCUGGCGGCAGGCCUAACACAUGCAAGUCGAACGAGUGGCGGACGGGUGAGUCAUGUCUGUGCAACCGCCCGAUGGAGGGGGAUACCUACUGGAAACGGUAGCUAAUAACGCAUUCAAUCAGAUGUGCCCAGAUGGGAUUAGCUAGUUGGUGGGGUAACGGCUCACAAAGGUGACGAUCCCUGGCUGGUCUGAGAGGAUGACCAGCCACACGGGAACUUAGACAGGGGCCAGACUCCGACGGGAGGCAGCAGUGGGGAAUUUUGCACAAGGGGGGCAAGCCUGAUGCAGCCAUGCGGCGUGUAUGAAGAAGGCCUUCGGGUUGUAAAGGACUUUCAGCGGGAAGGCGUUACCCGCAGAAGAAGCACCGGCUAACUCCGUGCCAGCCGCCGCGGUAAUAC
Molecule: ribosomal RNA, 406 nt
Filed under: uncultured bacterium
Lineage: Bacteria
Description: partial 16S ribosomal RNA
Rfam family: Bacterial small subunit ribosomal RNA
Source: RNAcentral